GAUCUGGUUCAGGAUGAACGCUGGCGGCGUGCUUAAUACAUGCAAGUCGAACGAAGACAUCUCGCCGAAGCUUGCUUCAUUGAGAUAUCUUAGUGGCGGACGGGUGAGUAACGCGUGGGUAACCUGCCUUACACAGGGGGAUAACAGUUAGAAAUGACUGCUAAUACCGCAUAAGCGCACAUUAUCGCAUGAUAGAGUGUGAAAAGAUUUAUCGGUGUAAGAUGGACCCGCGUCUGAUUAGCUAGUUGGUGAGGUAACGGCCCACCAGGGCGACGAUCAGUAGCCGGCCUGAGAGGGUGAACGGCCACAUUGGGACUGAGACACGGCCCAAACUCCUACGGGAGGCAGCAGUAGGGAAUAUUGGACAAUGGGGGAAACCCUGAAUCCAGCGACGCCGCGUGAGUGAAGAAGUAUUUCGGUACGUAAAGCUCUAUCAGCAGGGAAGAAAAUGACGGUACCUGACUAAGAAGCACCGGCUAAAUACGUGCCAGCCGCCGC
Molecule: ribosomal RNA, 498 nt
Filed under: uncultured bacterium
Lineage: Bacteria
Description: bacterial SSU rRNA
Rfam family: Bacterial small subunit ribosomal RNA
Source: RNAcentral